GACGAACGCUGGCGGCGUGCCUAAUACAUGCAAGUAGAACGCACAGUUUAUACCGUAGCUUGCUACACCAUAGACUGUGAGUUGCGAACGGGUGAGUAACGCGUAGGUAACCUGCCUGGUAGCGGGGGAUAACUAUUGGAAACGAUAGCUAAUACCGCAUAAUAUUAAUUAUUGCAUGAUAAUUAAUUGAAAGGUGCAAUUGCACCACUACCAGAUGGACCUGCGUUGUAUUAGCUAGUAGGUGAGGUAACGGCUCACCUAGGCGACGAUACAUAGCCGACCUGAGAGGGGGAUCGGCCACACUGGGACUGAGACACGGCCCAGACUCCUACGGGAGGCAGCAGUAGGGAAUCUUCGGCAAUGGACGAAAGUCUGACCGAGCAACGCCGCGUGAGGGAAGAAGGGUUUCGGAUCGUAAAGCUCUGUUGUAAGAGAAGAACGGGUGUGAGAGUGGAAAGUUCACACUGUGACGGUAUCUUACCAGAAAGGGACGGCUAACUACGUG
This 505-nucleotide ribosomal RNA is filed under the name uncultured bacterium. RNAcentral describes it as "partial 16S ribosomal RNA". It matches the Rfam family "Bacterial small subunit ribosomal RNA", at positions 28 to 507 of the family's 1533-position model. The record is from RNAcentral.